CAGCCGCCGCGGUAAUACCGGCGGCCCGAGUGGCGGUCACUAUUAUUGGGCUUAAAGCGUCCGUAGCCGGGUUGGGAAGUCCUCCGGGAAAUCUGGCCGCUUAACGGUCAGAAUGCCGGAGGAUACUCCCAGCCUAGGGAGCGGGAGAGGCCGAGGGGAUUCCCGGAGUAGGGGGGAAAUCCUAUAAUCCCGGGAGGACCACCUGUGGCGAAGGCGCUCGGCUGGAACGCGUCCGACGGUGAGGGACGAAGGCCAGGGGAGCAAACCGGAUUAGAUACCCGGGUAGUCCUGGCGGUAAACGAUGCGGACUUUGUGUCGGACAAGCUAUGAGCUUGUCCGGUGCCGGAGGGAAACCGUUAAGUCCGCCGCCUGGGGAGUACGGCCGCAAGGCUGAAACUUAAAGGAAUUGGCGGG
This 414-nucleotide ribosomal RNA is filed under the name uncultured microorganism. RNAcentral's name for it is "bacterial SSU rRNA". It matches the Rfam family "Archaeal small subunit ribosomal RNA", at positions 459 to 872 of the family's 1478-position model. The record is from RNAcentral.